CGCAGAUGCGGCUUGGAUCCCACAUUGCUAUGGCUGUGGUGUGGGAACCUCCAUAUGCGAGGGUGUGGCCCUAAAAAGACAAAAAAGACCUCCAAAACUUCCUUUUCCUUUCUCAAAACAGUCUUUCCACCCAUGACGACAGCAUAUUCUUUGAUUUAUUUGGGGUCUGAUUUCUUUCAUCAGGGUUUUGUAGUUUCAGCACAUAGAUCUUGUACAUAUUUUGGAAGAUUUAUAUCUAACUAUUUCAUGUAUUUUGGUGCUAUUAUAAAUGACGCUAUUUUAAAAAAUUCCUUUUCCAAUGGUUUACUGCAGCCAUAGAGAAAUAAAAUUGAAUUUCUGUAUGUAGACCGUGUAUCCUUCAGAAAAAAAGUUUUCUUCAAAAAAAGUCCUUAGAGUUUUCCUACCUAGUCGAUCUGGUCUUUAGUGAAUAAAGACAGUUUUACUCCUUUUUUUUUUUUGGCCACGCCCACAGCAUGUGCAAAUUCCCAGGCCAGGGAUUGAACCUGAGCCACAGAGCAGGGACCACACUGGAUCUUGAACUUGCUGAGCCACCCUGGAACUCCAGUUAUACUCUUUCUUUUCCAAUCUAAAGAUUUUUUUGCCUAACUGCACGGUCUGGGACCUCCCAUAGGACAGCGGGCCAAUCAAAAUGAUGAGUGCGUAGUGAGAGGCUGUCCCUGGAAAAAGCUGCAUGAAGGGAACACAGCAGCACUACACCUGUGUGCAACUUCUUCGCGGUUUAAAAUGACUUCAAAAUAAAAAGUUCAGUGGCAGGGAAACAGCGGAGAAAGCUAACAUUCUUGCCUUACUCCCAGGCUUCAAAGGAGAAACAGUCUUUCCAAAAAAAAAGAAGAAUGAUUAACUGCAGGUUUUUCACAGAUGCCCUUUAAAGAAGUUCCUUUUUUUUUUUUAAUGCACAUUUAAAAAAAUUAAAGAAUGGUUGAUAAGAAGUUCCGUUUAUUCCUAGUUUACUAAAAGUGUUCUGCUUGUUUUUACAUCAAAAGUGAGUACUGGAUUUUGUCGAAUGCCUUUCCUGUGUCUUUUGAGAUUAUAUCGUUUUUCUUCUUAGCUCUUAACGUGGUAAAUGAUGUGGAUUUUAGAAUAUUAAACCAAACUUGCAUUCUUGGGGUAAAUCGCACUUUGUCGUGAAGUGUGACAUUUCAUUUUUGUAUGUUCUUGGAUUCAACUGGCUAAAUUUUUGCCAAGGAUUUUUGCCUCUAUGUUCUUGAAACACUGGUCUAUAUUUUUCUUUUAUACUUGUCUGCUUUUAGUAUCGGGGUGGUGGUGUCCUCAUAAAACGAACUGGGAGGAGCUCCCAGUUCUUAAAAUCAUGGAGGAUUUUGUGUUGGUUUGUUACGACCUCUUCCUUAAAUGCUUGGAACAAUUUACCAUUUGGGCUUGGAAUUUUCUUUUGCGUGAGGGCAUUUUGCUUUUGCUUUGCUCAAAUCUUUUAACAAUUUGAUUAAGGUGCAAUUUACCUUGAAAUUUACCAAUUUAAAGCAUAAGAAGAUGGGAUUACCACUUGGAAGGAAAUUAAUCUCAUUUUUUCCACCCCUGUCCUGGGAGACCUUUAACUGCAUGCCUGAGUGCCAGGCAGGCAUGAGUUGCUGAAGUCCAGUGUACUUCAGCUUCUUAAAAGUCAAGAGCUGAUUUCCGGCCCCUCCUUCCUCCUGCGCUGCUCCUCACUUGCUGCUCUGGCCUCAGCCGACGAGCUCCGGCUUCCCAUCCCACCCGCCUCCUGGGACUGUUCUCCAGAGCAUCGCCAAGAACACCACGUCCCCUCGGGGCUCGGCCCACGGACAUGCCUCAGACCCUUGUACUUGACCUUCUGCAGAGCUUGCUGGUUGACCCUCUUCCCUGGCUGUCCCGGUCCCCACAGGAAACAGGCGGCUCUUUAUAAGGCGUGCGUAACCGGGGGUAGGGACACCACAGGUGCAGCUGGGAUCUGGAGCUAUCGCCACUCCUGGGUCGGAAGGGACAGCGGCAGUGCAGGAGGCAGCCCUGGGGAGGGAACCGGGGCCUCCCAGCUCACCCCUCACCUUCUGCCAGUCUGGGCCCAUCCAGAGGGCACUAACGGGUGUGACUCAGGCAGCCUCUGGGGACGCAGAGCAGGGCAGAGGGAUGGAGAAGGAGGGUGAUUCCACCCACCCCGAUGUCCUCCAGAAAAGGCCUCUCCUUUACCAGCCUCUCAGGGCAUCCUGGGCCCCGUGGGUCCUGCGGGAUGAUCUCCUUUGUUCCGAAGGCCCAUCAGGCACCGUAAUGACACCCACACCAGUUCAGACCUCUCACGGGAGCUCCAAUCUCCGGUACGUCCAACAAAAUGGGUGCGUGGGGGAUAGGUAAGUGUCAGGUAAUUUUCUACGCCCCUUCUGUGUAUGGAUUCACUUACUGUUCACGAGAGCUCUGUGAAGUGGCUCCGUUACGCUCACCCUUGAUUACAUGGAAGUGUCAGAGCCAGGACUGGAAUCGGGGGGUGACUCAGAGCCUAUGUUCUUUUUUUUUAAGGCCGUACCUGCAGCAUAUGGACAUUCCCAGGCUAGGGGUCAAAUUGGAGCUGUACACCAAAUUGGAGCCUACACCACAGCCACAGCAACCCUGGACCUGAGCCGCAUCUGCGACCUAUGCCACAGCCUGCAGCAACGCGGGAUCCUUAACCCACCGAGCGAGGCCAGUGAUUGAACCCACAUUCUCACAGAGACUGCAUCGGGUGCUUAACCCACUGAGCCACAAUGGUUACUCUUAGAGCCACUUAACCCCUCUGAUCAAAGGCGCAUCUUCAGACUUCAGGAAAAGUUGGGCUAGGUGACAUGGUUUCCAGAAAGCCUUAGUCAGCAAAGGUCCAUGGGUCCCUGUCCCAGGAACUCUCAUGGCACAUCGGAGGCCUGUGCCUAGAAGGCUCCAGCUUGCUCCUCGCCAGGACCACCUCCCAUCCCCCGAGGGAGCGCGUCCUUCCCUGAAUAGCCAAUACAGACCAGAAGACAAAGAGAAUUCACUUUAUUGUUUACAAAACAAUGGCUCCAGCAGGAAGGAAAACAAUCAUUAACCUUAGAGCAGCGAGUGUAAAGGCUAGAUUUAAAAUAACUGAAAAUCUUCGACCGUGUGGAAGGGGUGCUUCGGGGCGCCUUGGCCGUGGGUCUCAGCUCAGUGACUGCCCCGAGUCCUCCAACCGUCCUGAUGCCAUCUCCGUAUUUUGAAAACCACACAAGCCCAAUGUCCUGGACCUUCCUCGAGGAGAUGAAGGAACACAACCAGCGCAAGAACAAGGGGUCCUUCCUGGCUCCAAGCGGCGGUGUCAGAGGUUCGAAGUGGGAGAAGUCGGUGAAACGGGGUCCGCAUGGUGACAGCCAGAGCCUGAGAGCCGCCCCCCCCCCACCAUCACCAACUCUACAUUCUGCUGGGGGUGAGGUAGCUUCUGCGCGAGGGCACCACAGGCUGAUGGCAGCUGCCCUUGUCGGCUUCCGCUCUGGCCGACCUCUGCACCGGACCCUCUGCCUUCACCCUGGAUCGUGGAGAAGAGGCCACAGGGACCGAGACACGUCGAGGUGUGCAUGAAGGGUUCCAGGGAGAAGAGACUGCAAAACUCCCCCAGGGAAGAGGCGAAAGCAAAGACAGACACUGCAGCGCCAGGCAGGCCCAUCCGCACCUCCGGUAAAGGCGCCCAGCGCCCGUGCUGGUGCAGGGCCGCCAGAACCCAGGGCCCCACUCGGGCAGGAAGUACAAAUUCCAGUCACUCGCGGCAGUCUUCAAAGGCGUGGCGUUUCUGACAGUCGCGAGGAAAAGGCCAAGCAUCCUCACCCUCAGCUUGGUGUCCUUGGGCCAAGGACUAAGAAACGCCUGGAAGUGCCUUGCCAACUGGAACUGCUUAACUGCCAUUUCUUGGAAUGAAUUUGUUGACUGCAAGACUCUGCUCUGCUAAGACUUGGCGAUUCCAUUUUAUAAGAAGGGAAACUACUGUCAUUAAUAUAUGUUAAUAAUUAAAACUUCAAAGUGCUACACA
This 3997-nucleotide long non-coding RNA is filed under the name Sus scrofa (pig). RNAcentral describes it as "lncRNA (ENSSSCG00005032856.1)". Lineage: Eukaryota; Metazoa; Chordata; Mammalia; Artiodactyla; Suidae. The record is from RNAcentral.